Molecule: non-coding RNA, 264 nt
Organism: Chlorocebus sabaeus (green monkey)
Lineage: Eukaryota; Metazoa; Chordata; Mammalia; Primates; Cercopithecidae
Source: RefSeq, a predicted model, not a curated record
GGCAGGAGUCCCAGGCAGAGUGGGGCCGGCUCAGCCCAGGGUAGAAUCUCUCCUUGCCCUUCCGCAUCCCCAGCCCAGCUGCAGACAAAGUGAGGGAGGACUCAUUUUCCCUGGGGAUGUAGGACCCGAUUCAUUCAUUCAUGUGUUCAAGGGGAGGUGACCAAGGACUUCACGGUCCUCUAGGAGCUGGAAUGUUAUGAUACAGGGGUCUCGACUGGCAGUGUGGGGUGGGCCAGGGUGAUGAGUAAAGGCCCCAAAGACUUC